This 89-nucleotide transfer RNA is filed under the name Actinomycetota bacterium. Its description in RNAcentral is "Actinobacteria bacterium tRNA-Gly". The stretch from base 25 to 78 matches the Rfam family "tRNA", at positions 10 to 63 of the family's 71-position model. Rfam says of the family: Transfer RNA (tRNA) molecules are approximately 80 nucleotides in length. Their secondary structure includes four short double-helical elements and three loops (D, anti-codon, and T loops). Further hydrogen bonds mediate the characteristic L-shaped molecular structure. tRNAs have two regions of fundamental functional importance: the anti-codon, which is responsible for specific mRNA codon recognition, and the 3' end, to which the tRNAs corresponding amino acid is attached (by aminoacyl-tRNA synthetases). tRNAs cope with the degeneracy of the genetic code in two manners: having more than one tRNA (with a specific anti-codon) for a particular amino acid; and 'wobble' base-pairing, i.e. permitting non-standard base-pairing at the 3rd anti-codon position. Lineage: Bacteria; Bacillati; Actinomycetota. The record is from RNAcentral.
GCAGAGGUAACCUAAGCCCAGCACACUCAAUGGUAGAGCCCCAGCCUUCCAAGCUGGCCAUGCCGGUUCGAUCCCGGUCACCCGCUCCA